GUGGGUGGCAAGCGUUGUCCGGAAUUAUUGGGCGUAAAGCGCGCGCAGGCGGGUCCUUUAAGUCUGAUGUGAAAGCCCACGGGCUCAACCGUGGAGGGUCAUUGGAAACUGGGGGACUUGAGUACAGAAGAGGAAAGCGGAAUUCCAAGUGUAGCGGUGAAAUGCGUAGAGAUUUGGAGGAACACCAGUGGCGAAGGCGGCUUUCUGGUCUGUAACUGACGCUGAGGCGCGAAAGCGUGGGGAGCAAACAGGAUUAGAUACCCUGGUAGUCCACGCCGUAAACGAUGAGUGCUAAGUGUUAGGGGGUUUCCGCCCCUUAGUGCUGCAGCUAACGCAUUAAGCACUCCGCCUGGGGAGUACGGCCGCAAAGGCUG
RNAcentral lists this ribosomal RNA (374 nucleotides) under uncultured organism. Its description in RNAcentral is "partial 16S ribosomal RNA". It matches the Rfam family "Bacterial small subunit ribosomal RNA", at positions 527 to 896 of the family's 1533-position model. The record is from RNAcentral.